This is a long non-coding RNA of Mauremys reevesii (Reeves's turtle), 1687 nucleotides long. RefSeq lists it as uncharacterized. Lineage: Eukaryota; Metazoa; Chordata; Testudines; Geoemydidae. The transcript is spliced from 7 exons. The record is from RefSeq and is a predicted model, not a curated record.
AGGAGCUGUAGGAGGAAGUUUUGCUGUUUGAGAGACUGAGCAGUCUAUACAUAUCAGGCACAAGGAAGAAGGCCCUGAGAUGAGAAAAUGGAAGUGCAGCUGGUGUCAAGUAUACUUUGGACAUAUUGCAUGAGGGUGACAAUAUGCAGUAUGUCCCUGCUGCAGCAAAUGUGAGCAUGAAAACAUAAUUAUCUUUGUUUGCCUCAUCCAAACUGCCAUUUACUUCAAUAAAAAAGUGAUACUAUUGCUGCCGUCCUUAUCUAUCUAUCCCUCCUUCCUCCCUGCAAUACUUGAGAUGACAAGAUUGCAAAAAUAAUUAUUUGUAAUACAAAGUUGCAACAAUCAAGAGAUGUGUGAGAAGUGGUGUUUAUACCCUUGACCAACAUGGGUGCAGAGCACAGGACUAAUGAGAACUUUGGUGAACCAAGUGCUUUUCAAAACAGCAAAGGCCUGACAGUGUUGUAAGUUGAAGUCACUCCACUGAAAUCAACGGAAUAACACCAAAGCAGCUGAAGUGAUGGUUCUGCCUUGGUUGGGAGUGACUAUAGACUGAAAACUGAUGAGGCUGGGGUAUAAAUGGCAGAGCAGGCCAACCAUCCCUCAGUCCUUUUGCCAAUACAUUAACCCAGAGAAGUAGGAAUCUGUAGCAGUGUAGAAGGUGGGUGGACAAUACAUCUCAAAGAACCACAGUAAAUGUAAGGGCUCUUGAUACCCACCUCCAAGAAAUGACUUCAGGAUAGCCCUAUCAAAAUGGGCAUCCUGUGUGGAAGACUUUACCAAAAGAACAGUAACUUGAAAGUCUGUGGACCAAACUCCAUACAGCUGCCCUAGAGAUUUGAGAAACAAGGAUGUUCUUCAAAGAGGAACCCUGAGCUCUAAUGGAAUGAGCUCUCACAUGGAUGGGGGAUGUGAGGACAUCUAAGGUGAAGGCAUGGCUGCAACAGGCACUGCUGACAAAAAGAACCUGAUCUUGUGCAUAUGGGGCACAUACGCACCAGGAGUGGACAAUCACUUGAAGAAUCUAAUGUUUGCUACAGUCAAAACUGCUAUUUAUGCAUUACAACAUAUCAAAACAAUCAUGAGUUUUAUUCGACUUCUGUAUAAUUUAGAGAUGAAAUCCAACUGUAAUAUUUAGAUCCUGGUCUGUCUUCCCCAAAGUUCAGUGGUAUUUAGAUCCAGAAACUGGGUUCAGAAAUACCAGCCAUCUCUCAAAUUUGUAUCUGCAUCUGGAUUCCAAGCCUCACAUUUCCAAAUGUUCAGAGUAUGCCCAUCUCUACUAAUGUAUAAAGUGUACCCAUUUAUCUUAGUUCAUUAUGCCCAGGUAUUACGAUAAUAUUUUGCCUUUAAAUAGCACCAUUUAUAUAAAGAUUUUAAAGUAAUUUACAAACUUUCCUCUAUGAAAUCCCACUGAAUCAUAAUAAGAGCAUUUUAAAUACACUUUUGUGUUUAUAAUAUAUUAAGUCAUAGACUGAAGACACUUACCCCUGCAAAGUGUUAACUCGACCCCCCCCACCAAACUGAAUAAGAAUUAAGUGUUGAUAAAGACAAUAGUUCAGUAUUCAUAAACUUGCAAAAUACAAUUUCAUUUUUAUAGUGUUUUAAAAAAUUCUAUAUGAAUUAAAGAAAUAGGGAAAAUAGAGUAGAUUUUUUGUUUUUAAAUGUUAAAUAAAAAGGAACAAAAUAUAUU